This 775-nucleotide ribosomal RNA is filed under the name uncultured Neocallimastigales. Its description in RNAcentral is "partial large subunit ribosomal RNA". It matches the Rfam family "Eukaryotic large subunit ribosomal RNA", at positions 24 to 645 of the family's 3401-position model. The record is from RNAcentral. Lineage: Eukaryota; Fungi; Neocallimastigomycota; Neocallimastigomycetes; Neocallimastigales.
UAUCUCUGUAGAGUCUGCAUAUCAAUAAGCGGAGGAAAAGAAACUAACAAGGAUUCCCUUAGUAACGGCGAGUGAAGCGGGAAGAGCUCAAAUUUGAAAUCUUCAAGGUUUUACCUUGACGAAUUGUAGUUUAAAGAAGUGUUUUCUGUUGAAGUUUCGGUAAAAGUUCUUUGGAAUAGGACAUCAUAGAGGGUGAGAAUCCCGUAUUUGACCGUUAUUUUCAGCUGUGUGAUACACUUUCAAAGAGUCGGAUUGUUUGGGAAUGCAGUCCAAAAUGGGUGGUAAAUUUCAUCUAAAGCUAAAUAUUGGCGAGAGACCGAUAGCGAACAAGUACCGUGAGGGAAAGAUGAAAAGAACUUUGAAAAGAGAGUUAAACAGUACGUGAAAUUGUCAAAAGGGAAGCGUUUGACACCAGUGUUGUUUUCUCGAAAAUCGAUUAAAAAUGGCUUGAUUUUGUGUUGUAUUGACCUUAAAAGCUUUCUUCACUUUUUUCAUGUCUUUUUUAAUGCACUUUUCGUUUAACAAGUCAACAUCAGUUUCUUUUGUUGUAAAAAGGUCAUUGGAAGGUGGCUUUCUUUUCGGAGAAAGUGUUUAUAGCCUUUGACUCCUGCAAUCGGAGAGACUGAGGUCUGCAGCGUAGAUCCUUCUUGGAUUAGAUUCAUUUGUGCUAAGUUAUAGCUUUUCAUAGACAACUUGUUGACUAUGUUUAGUCUUGUAGCUUACUCGCUUAUGUAAUUUUACCUACGCUUAGGAUGUUGAUCUCUCACAGUCGAGC